AGACUCUGCGGGAUCAAUAUCAUUGAAAUCAAUGUUUUUAGAAGCCUCGUUAUGCAUUGAUAUUUGCCAAUCUGGAAGGGAGGCAGUACCAACCUUUUUAGUUUGAAAACCUUCUGAAGUAUCUAAAGGAUUCUCUAAUACUGGUAUCGAAGAGUUUGAUGUGGUAGCGAAAGUGUCGUCUUUUUUUGAAUCAGUUUGUAAACAUCGUAGAGAGCUAAUUUCUCUCGAAAGGUUUUGUAAUGCUUCUUCUUGAGAUUUCUUAAUUUGCUCAAGACUUUGUGGUAAAGUAAUAGUACUCAUGGUAUAUACAUCUUGUGAGAUUCUAGCUAUUUCACGAUCUCGGUUUUCGGACGUACGCUUCAAAGUAUUCAACGUCUCUUCUAAAUCAUCUAACGCAAUGUCCAAUUCAUCUUGCUGUUUUUCAGUUCUCUCGGAAAGCUUUCUUGUUUGUUCAUCUAAAUUUUCGAGUAUUUUAUGAGCUUCUAGAAAUUUAGCAUCCAAAGCGUUUUUAUCAGCUUCAUAAGCGUUUUGAGAUGGUGCGCGAAACAUUGGUGCUAUGUAUUUCUAAAUUUAAUUAUGUUAAAACAGCACGAAUAUUUUAAAUGUUCAGUUUUUUGAACGUACCUUUACUAAUGAAUACGCCGACCAUGCAAAUCCAGUCGAAAUAACGCCCAUAAUAAACCAAUCUCUCCAAUCUCUUGAAACAAAAUUACUAGUGUUUUCAAAUCGAGGAUAAGAAGGGAAUAGCGGAUUUUUUGCUAGCUUGAAUGCUUCUUGAAUUUCUUCGGCAGUUAAACCUUUGGAUUUUAGAAAUUCAAUCUUUUUCACAUCAGGAGCAUCUAAUACAGUUUUUUCUCUUAAAAAUUCAACGGAGUUUCUUAACAAAUCCUCCCUCAUUUUUCAAAUUGACAAAUGCUUUGUACCGAAUUCGCUAGUUAGUAGUUGUAUGGAAAUAAGCAACUGAAAUAUAUUGAGUAAACUCCGGACUGCAAGAUAGUAAUUUCACGAUAAUUCUCUAAACAAGCUUGGAAAUGUCGAGGUUUAUGUUUUUUUAAGAAUGGGAUUACACAAUUGUUUAAUUUGUCAAAUUAAUUUGUGAAAGUACGCUAAUGAAUUGUUCUGGUUAUAUUACGCCGAAAGUUAUUAACUGACAAAUUAAAGAAAAAAUUGUUUCUUAUUGUUUGGUGGUUUAAUACAGUGUUAAAUAAAAAAAUUAUUUUUCGAAAGUUCAAUAGAAGGAACAAAAUAUUGACAAAACAAGUAAGCACAUGAUAUAUAUGUAAUUAUGGUAUCAAUCAUUCCUAAGCCCUAAAAACAAUUUCUAUUUUAUUAAAAAUAACCAUAUUUACAUUAUCUAGAAGGCCUAACCUGUCUAACAUUGAAGUUCACUCGCUUUCUUGAAAUCCAUCCAUCCCAAGCCUUGUUUCCAGUCAAUAGGUAAUUAGGCGUAGAGUUGGGUAUAAUCUUAGGAACAGCUGCGGUAAGUUAGUAAGCAAUCAAUUGACUAUAAAUGAGGUAUUUGAAUGAACAAUGCUUACCAUGGAAAGCCUUUCUAGAAGUUCCAGUCAUAAUUACAACGUCUCCACUGUGUAAACGUAAAGCUGAAGGCUUUUCCGACCUCGACUCGGUACCGAUCAAAUAUAUGCAAUCCAAACCCAUUGAGAGAGAAAUUAAUGGAAGUGUCAAAUCCUCUUCAGAUUCAUCGAUAUGUGCACUCAAUGUGUCACCAGGAGAAUAAAAAUUUACGAUUGCAGCUUCAGCUUUCCAAUGUAAAAAAUCUGUGCUCUCUUUAACAACCUUUUCAACAAAGUCACCUAAAUCUUUGGGAAACCCAGGAGAUUUGGAAGGAUCAGGAUACUCCUUCGUCGUCCAGUCAUACUGUUCACCUAGUGUAACCCAUCGAAGCUUUUUAUGAACUAGUCUGUCAACCGUCAAAGGCUUAGUUUCUCCAAGGCCGUCAAUGAUACUUUCUCCAUCACCAUUGUAAUAUCUGCGCCAUAUGCUAUCAUUACCUAAUGGUAGUUGAUAAAAUGGUGAAAGGUUGGUCUUGUUUUCAGGAUCUUGAAUUUGCGUAAACAUUAUAGAUUUUAACAGCUGCAUUUGCAGUUCCGAUGAAACAUAGUUUUUAAGAAUUAAUAAUCCAGGAGCUUUUUGAAAAGAAAAAACUCUAGGUUUAAUUUCAACUAAAGCUUCAAAUCCAAAAGACUGGGGAUCAUUAGGAUCAAGGACCUCAGACAUGUCAGGAAUUGUGUCGGCACGACAUUUAUAGCGUUUUUCUUCUAAACGAAAAACAUUCGCCUGUUCCAUGUUUCCCGCUAGCAUUUCAAUAAACUAACUUUAUGUGGAGAAAUCGACAGAUCAUUUAAUAGAGACUGAAUGAAAAAGUUUAGGCCACUUGCAAGGUUUUUCUCCCAGACAGUCAUAGAUAAUUAAAUACAGUAAGAACCAUAGUACAACUUAAUUCAAUUUUUACCAUAAUGCGUAAUAUUUAUUACCUU
RNAcentral lists this long non-coding RNA (2498 nucleotides) under Schizosaccharomyces pombe (fission yeast). RNAcentral describes it as "non-coding RNA, possible alternative UTR". The record is from RNAcentral. Lineage: Eukaryota; Fungi; Ascomycota; Schizosaccharomycetes; Schizosaccharomycetales; Schizosaccharomycetaceae.